UACAGAGGCCACGAGCGUUAGGCGGAAUCACUGGGCUUAAAGCGUGUGUAGGUGGAUGGGUAAGUACCUUGUGAAAUCCCACAGCUCAACUGUGGAACUGCUUGGUAUACUGCCUGUCUUGAGGCACUCAGGGGCGAGCGGAACAGAUGGUGGAGCGGUGAAAUGCGUAGAUAUCAUCUGGAACGCCAAUGGUGAAGACAGCUCGCUGGGGGUGUACUGACACUGAGACACGAAAGCCAGGGGAGCAAACGGG
Molecule: ribosomal RNA, 253 nt
Filed under: uncultured bacterium
Lineage: Bacteria
Also listed under: 1 other name
Description: partial 16S ribosomal RNA
Rfam family: Bacterial small subunit ribosomal RNA
Source: RNAcentral